AACCGCACCCGCAUCACAGGGGAGGAGGUGGAGGUGCAGGACUCCAUGCCCGCAGACUCCGGCCUCUAUGCUUGCGUAACCAGCAGCCCCUCGGGCAGUGACACCACCUACUUCUCCGUCAAUGUUUCAGAUGCUCUCCCCUCCUCGGAGGAUGAUGAUGAUGAUGAUGACUCCUCUUCAGAGGAGAAAGAAACAGAUAACACCAAACCAAACCGUAUGCGUGAGACACUGUUUCCUAUCUUACUGCCCUUUGGGUCUGGGCGUUGGGUUUAAGAGGGGAGGGGAAGGCUGAAAGGGGAGGAAGAGAGGGCACAUGGGGUCACGGUGCCUGUUCUGCUAAGUGCCAGACACUGCUCACAGGUGUUGGGCAGAUGGGCAAGACACCUCCAGGUCCUGGCCUGGGCCCUGCUCCUGAGCCUGACCAGCUGCUCCUCUCCACCCUGCCUGUCUCUCUCGGCUUUCCCCGGGCAGCCGUAGCUCCAUAUUGGACAUCCCCAGAAAAAAUGGAAAAGAAAUUGCAUGCAGUGCCGGCUGCCAAGACAGUGAAGUUCAAAUGCCCUUCCAGUGGGACCCCAAACCCCACACUGCGCUGGUUGAAAAAUGGCAAAGAAUUCAAACCUGACCACAGAAUUGGAGGCUACAAGGUCCGUUAUGCUACCUGGAGCAUCAUAAUGGACUCCGUGGUGCCCUCUGACAAGGGCAACUACACCUGCAUUGUGGAGAAUGAGUACGGCAGCAUCAACCACACGUACCAGCUGGAUGU
This 763-nucleotide small RNA is filed under the name Pongo abelii (Sumatran orangutan). RNAcentral describes it as "retained intron". Lineage: Eukaryota; Metazoa; Chordata; Mammalia; Primates; Hominidae. The record is from RNAcentral.